Molecule: ribosomal RNA, 253 nt
Filed under: uncultured bacterium
Lineage: Bacteria
Description: partial 16S ribosomal RNA
Rfam family: Bacterial small subunit ribosomal RNA
Source: RNAcentral
UACGUAGGGUGCGAGCGUUGUCCGGAUUUAUUGGGCGUAAAGGGCUCGUAGGCGGCGUGUCGCGUCGGGAGUGAAAGCCCGGGGCUUAACCCCGGUUCUGCUUCCGGUACGGGCAUGCUGGAGUGUGGCAGGGGAGACUGGAAUUCCUGGUGUAGCGGUGGAAUGCGCAGAUAUCAGGAGGAACACCGGUGGCGAAGGCGGGUCUCUGGGCCAUUACUGACGCUGAGGAGCGAAAGCGUGGGGAGCGAACAGG